CCAAUAAGCGGAGGAAAAGAAACCAACAGGGAUUGCCCCAGUAACGGCGAGUGAAGCGGCAACAGCUCAAAUUUGAAAUCUGGCUUCGGCCCGAGUUGUAAUUUGUAGAGGAUGCUUUUGGUGAGGUGCCUUCUGAGUUCCCUGGAACGGGACGCCAGAGAGGGUGAGAGCCCCGUAUAGUUGGACACCGAGCCUCUGUAAAGCUCCUUCGACGAGUCGAGUAGUUUGGGAAUGCUGCUCAAAAUGGGAGGUAUAUCUCUUCUAAAGCUAAAUACUGGCCAGAGACCGAUAGCGCACAAGUAGAGUGAUCGAAAGAUGAAAAGCACUUUGAAAAGAGGGUUAAAUAGUACGUGAAAUUGUUGAAAGGGAAGCGCUUGUGACCAGACUUGUGCCCGGCUGAUCAUCCAGUGUUCUCACUGGUGCACUCUGCCGGGCUCAGGCCAGCGUCGGUUCUCGCAGGGGGACAAAAGCUUCGGGAACGUAGCUCCUCCGGGAGUGUUAUAGCCCGUUGCUCAAUACCCCUGCGGGGACCGAGGUUCGCGCUCUGCAAGGACGCUGGCAUAAUG
RNAcentral lists this ribosomal RNA (566 nucleotides) under Coniochaeta decumbens. RNAcentral's name for it is "LSU rRNA". It matches the Rfam family "Eukaryotic large subunit ribosomal RNA", at positions 43 to 636 of the family's 3401-position model. The record is from RNAcentral. Lineage: Eukaryota; Fungi; Ascomycota; Sordariomycetes; Coniochaetales; Coniochaetaceae.